GCUGCGCCCCUCGGUCAGCCGACGCGUUGACAAACGUGGAGACGGAGUGGGUUUUCGGGUGGUCGCUCUUCUGACGGUGUUAGUCGGGGAAGUAGCCCUGAAUCUUCCCUUUAAAACAGGGGUUUGAGGUGCGGAGGCUGGAGUCUUUCAUCCCACAAAGAGCAUGAUGCCAGACUUCGUUCACUCCGUAUUAAUUCUCAGAAGCGGAGAGAGGAAGAUGAAAAAAUAAACCUCCCUACAAUAAAGAUUUAGUCCUGCAGUGCUUAGGAACAAAAACAGUUCAUGCCUGAGUAAUCCCAUCAAUUUGAGCUAGGACUUGCACAUCAUAUCCUGAACUAGAAAUGAUGUCCGAUUUUGGGGAAGAGUCAGCAUCUUCAUGUUCUUCCUUUAAGCUCGGCGUGUAAUUAACCUGUUUAUAGCAUACCCUAGACCAAGCCCUCCAUUCUGAACACAACUCUGUAUCUGUAGCUGGUGAUGAUCUUGCGGCUUCCACUUUCACAGCGCUGCCAACUUUAAACUUUUAUACAUUUGUAGCUUUAAAAUGAUUAGGCUUACAAAUUAAUACUA
Molecule: long non-coding RNA, 567 nt
Organism: Struthio camelus australis
Lineage: Eukaryota; Metazoa; Chordata; Aves; Struthioniformes; Struthionidae
Source: RefSeq, a predicted model, not a curated record